This 428-nucleotide long non-coding RNA is filed under the name Elaeis guineensis (African oil palm). RNAcentral's name for it is "long non-coding RNA (EGUI_LNC048738)". The record is from RNAcentral. Lineage: Eukaryota; Viridiplantae; Streptophyta; Magnoliopsida; Arecales; Arecaceae.
GAAAGGUGACGCUGCUGGCUGGUCAGGGGGCAAGCCCAUGGUUCUCCCCACCCACUAGAAUAUAACUUUUUGCGUCUAUGCAUGCAGAUAUAUAUAUGUUUUUCAUGUUAUGUCAUGUCAUGAACGGGCACUGACAUGCAUGCAUGUCCACCUUGUCUCGCCCAGCUAGCCAGCUUAUAUGGUCCCAAAUAUCCAUCCAAUCCAAACAACUCGAAACACUGUCACCUUAAAAGCCCCUGUUUAAUAUAACCAAAAAAAAAAAAAAGAAAAAAAAAGGAAGAGAAGCAGAAGAAGAAGAAGAAGAAGAAGAAGAAGAGGAAUGGAAGAGGUAAGAGGGAAUCUUUGCCUAUGUCUUUCUCCUGAUCACAGUCGCAGAGUUAGCGGCAUGGAAUAGAGAAAGAGAAAGAAAGAAAGAAAGGGUAGCUGUG